Molecule: ribosomal RNA, 494 nt
Filed under: uncultured bacterium
Lineage: Bacteria
Description: partial 16S ribosomal RNA
Rfam family: Bacterial small subunit ribosomal RNA
Source: RNAcentral
GACGAACGCUGGCGGCGUGCUUAACACAUGCAAGUCGAACGGUGAAGCGCCUUCCUUUUUGGUGGGUGUGGAUGAGUGGCGAACGGGUGAGUAACACGUGAGUAACCUGCCCCCUUCUUCUGGAUAACCGCAUGAAAGUGUGGCUAAUACGGGAUAUUCUGGGUCUGUCGCAUGAUGGGUCUGGGAAAGAUAUUGUUUCGGUGGGGGAUGGGCUCGCGGCCUAUCAGCUUGUUGGUGGGGUGAUGGCCUACCAAGGCGGUGACGGGUAGCCGGCCUGAGAGGGUGGACGGUCACACUGGGACGGAGACACGGCCCAGACUCCUACGGGAGGCAGCAGUGGGGAAUAUUGCACAAUGGGCGCAAGGCUGAUGCAGCGACGCCGCGUGAGGGAUGGAGGCCUUCGGGUUGUGAACCUCUUUCGCCAGUGAAGCAGGCCUGCCUCGUUUGUGGGUGGGUUGACGGUAGCUGGAGAAGAAGCGCCGGCUAACUACGUG